RNAcentral lists this unclassified non-coding RNA (374 nucleotides) under fungal sp. Its description in RNAcentral is "partial internal transcribed spacer region". The stretch from base 1 to 45 matches the Rfam family "Eukaryotic small subunit ribosomal RNA", at positions 1787 to 1831 of the family's 1831-position model. Lineage: Eukaryota; Fungi. The record is from RNAcentral.
AGUCGUAACAAGGUUUCCGUAGGUGAACCUGCGGAAGGAUCAUUACUAAAUCCAAAAAUUGAGACAAUGUUGAAACGUGUGUUGUUUGUGGCGGAUGGCGCGUGUAACGUGCGCAGUGCGUCGUUGUUCGUCGCGUUGUCUUGUGGGUGUGAGAUAGGUCGUGUGCGUCGCACCGUGUGUGAUGCGCACAUUGCCCAACCAUCCCCUUGACGACGAUGAUGAUUGGACGACGGCCAUUCGCGCGUACGACGCGCGUCAAGAAGCCACAAACAAACCAAUUUAUAAUACACCAUGAGUAUACCACCAAUGACAGUUAUUUUAUUAUAUAUCAUACAUAUAAAGCAUAACUUUCAACAACGGAUCUCUUGGUUCUG